CGUAGCUGCAUGGCUCUCAGAGGACACAACAGACAUAAAUGCACAUACAGCACAACAACAGUUGAGUAUGGCAACACUAAUCAUUUGAAAAUGCCCUCAUUUGUGACCAGGUCCCAUACUUGGGAUACAUUUUUUUUUCAUUUAACUAUCAUAAGAAUAGGGAUUUUGUGGCUACUUGACCCAUCAAUUACUACUUUAUUAUCACUCACAGCAUGAGUAGAAUGUUGUAGGUCAUUAAAUGUGUUGCACAAGACAAUAACGUUUCUGAACUACGUUGAUCAAUUCUGCAAAAUCAUUGGGAAUGGCUCCCAUUAAGGGAAGCACCAUCUAUCAAGUUUUGCUUAAAGAAUUGCGUUAUUAUAAGAAGAAUUUGUUUUAAAUCACUUCCUCUUUUUGCUGUAUGUUUUUUAUGUUUCACGUUUCAAUUCUUUUCUUGGGUCUGCUGCAUCCCUCAAAGGUAAGAAAAAAUGACAUUCCAUUAAAAGUAUACAGAAAAAUAAAAAGUUUUAGAAAGCAACAAUAAGGGAAGGAAUGUAAAAUCAUAAAGACUGUUAGUCAUAAAGACUAACUUGAAAACAUCUUUCAAUCAGAGAAAAUGCAUCACUUUGCCAUAAAACCUUUAUCAUUUUUUGCCCUGUUCCUGCCUGUCUUUUUCUUCCCUCACCUCUCUCCAUCUCUGUCUCCCUGUCUUUUCUUUUCUGCUCUCUCGGUUUUCCUAGGCACCUGUGCAGGUUUAGAGUUUCAGCCAAGUCCCUGAAAAAUACAUGCUGCGCUCCAAUCUCUUAAUCCACUCGGCUCCACGCAGCCACGUCACAUGACACCGCCCUGGUCGUCUUGACGCCCAGACGGCACUGGAGGGGAAUGAUUGUUUGGUGUGUGCAUGUGUUUCAGAGUUCAGUCUAUUGCACAGAAAAUAAGCAUAAAACAGAAACUGUUUUUGUUAUUUAUAAUGUAGUAUAUAGUGCUUGUUAUAAAGUUCCAUGCAUGUUUUAUUAACAUGUUUGGGUUCGGUUGGUGAAUACUCUAUAUUUAACUUGGUGGUUGGAGAGCAAGAAACAAUUUCUCAUUCAAAUCUUUCUUCUUAGGCAAUGCUGUGUGUGUAUGUGUGUCUGCAUGUACAUUUUGGGAUGAUACCCUAUCCCCAGCAAUCAGUCUGACCUCCACUCCGGAGUGAACCAUUCUCAAUGAUUAAUGGAUCUGCCUCCAUGCUUGGUCGCUAAGGCAACAAGAAACCCGAUAGCCCUCAGGAAUUCGCUUGCUCGCCCUCAAAGUUUGGUUAUGUGCGCCAUUAUGUGUGUACGUGUGUGUGUACGUGUGUGUGUGUGGUGGGUGGGAGACGUGCGAGGAUGGAGCUGGCUGUGGUAAAGGUGACUGAAGAGGAUCCAAUCCAGUUAAUGGGUGAUUCUGUUCUGCACUUUUCAUGCCUUAUUUUCUUAAAUUAUGCUACACACUCUUGAAAGGUCCCUGGAAGUCAGUCUGAGGAUUUGUGCUCAAAACUGCUGGGGAAACUGAGGGACAUUGGACUGCCACACUCCACCUGCAUGUGGAUCCACAGCUUCCUGUCAGGUCGCAGCAAAAGGGUCAGACUAAGUCAACAUACAUCUUCAGUCCUCAGCCUCAGCACCAGCUCUCCACAGGGUUGUGUGUUGAGCCUCCUGCUCUACACCCUCUACACCUACAACUGCCCCGUCUCUCACCACAACAACAUCAUUGUCAAGUUUGCAGAUGACACCACAGUGGUGGUGCUCAUCUCCGGGGGUGAUAAGUAAGCCUAUCGGGACGAAAUGGAGUAGUUGGCAGCACGGUGCACAGAGAACAACUUGGUUUUCAUCAUCUCCAAGACCAAAGGGAUAAUAUUUAAAUAUUGGAAAUAGAGAAUGGACAUUUCACCACUGAUCAUCAGCGGGGACUGUGUGGAGAGGGUGGCUGACUUUCUGGGAGUCCGCAUUGAGGAGGCCAUGACCUUAAGUGUGAACACCUCUGAGCUGCCGAAAAAGGCCCAGCAAAGACUGCACUUCCUGAGGGUGCUUAGAAGAAAUAACAUCACACUUGUUGAACUUCACAGUUUCUGGUGUCUCCAAAAAGUUCACAACAUCAUAAAUGACAUUUCUAACCUAUCUCAUGGUCCGGUUGAGCUGUUACUGGCAAUUUUUAUCUAACAGCAAUAGCUAAACUCAGUACAGCCGGAAUGUAAAGGAGAUGGAAUAUUGGGAAUAGUGCAAUCAGUAUAAAUGUGUGUAUGCGUGUUUUUAUUUUAUGUUUUUAACAAAGAGCUUCUAUUUUUCUGUUAUGCAUAAAUUAUUUCUUUUUCUAUGCACUGGCCAGCUUUUUUUCCAAUUUCAUUGAACUUGUGACAAUGACAGUAAAGGGUAUUCUAUUCUA
This is a long non-coding RNA of Girardinichthys multiradiatus, 2382 nucleotides long. RefSeq lists it as uncharacterized. The record is from RefSeq and is a predicted model, not a curated record. The transcript has 2 exons. Lineage: Eukaryota; Metazoa; Chordata; Actinopteri; Cyprinodontiformes; Goodeidae.